Molecule: ribosomal RNA, 253 nt
Filed under: uncultured bacterium
Lineage: Bacteria
Description: partial 16S ribosomal RNA
Rfam family: Bacterial small subunit ribosomal RNA
Source: RNAcentral
UACGAAGGGGGCUAGCGUUGCUCGGAAUCACUGGGCGUAAAGGGCGCGUAGGCGGGAUGGCAAGUCGGUCGUGAAAUCCUUCGGCCCAACCGAAGAACGUCGGCCGAUACUGCCAUUCUUGAGGGAUGCAGAGGAGACUGGAAUUUACGGUGUAGCGGUGAAAUGCGUAGAUAUCGUAAGGAAGACCAGUGGCGAAGGCGGGUCUCUGGACAGUUCCUGACGCUGAGGCACGAAGGCCAGGGGAGCAAACGGG